UACGGAGGGGGCUAGCGUUGUUCGGAAUUACUGGGCGUAAAGCGCACGUAGGCGGCUUUGUAAGUUAGAGGUGAAAGCCCGGGGCUCAACUCCGGAAUUGCCUUUAAGACUGCAUCGCUAGAAUUGUGGAGAGGUAAGUGGAAUUCCGAGUGUAGAGGUGAAAUUCGUAGAUAUUCGGAAGAACACCAGUGGCGAAGGCGACACACUGGCCCGAUACUGACGCUGAGGCGCGAAAGCGUGAGGAGCAAACAGG
RNAcentral lists this ribosomal RNA (253 nucleotides) under uncultured bacterium. RNAcentral describes it as "partial 16S ribosomal RNA". It matches the Rfam family "Bacterial small subunit ribosomal RNA", at positions 524 to 776 of the family's 1533-position model. The record is from RNAcentral.